GCGCCCUUACCUCAGCCGGAUAGAGGGCCUGACUACGAAUCAGGACGUCGCAGGUUCGAAUCCUGCAGGGCGCGCCA
This 77-nucleotide transfer RNA is filed under the name Actinomycetes bacterium. Its description in RNAcentral is "Actinobacteria bacterium tRNA-Arg". It matches the Rfam family "tRNA". From Rfam's summary of the family: Transfer RNA (tRNA) molecules are approximately 80 nucleotides in length. Their secondary structure includes four short double-helical elements and three loops (D, anti-codon, and T loops). Further hydrogen bonds mediate the characteristic L-shaped molecular structure. tRNAs have two regions of fundamental functional importance: the anti-codon, which is responsible for specific mRNA codon recognition, and the 3' end, to which the tRNAs corresponding amino acid is attached (by aminoacyl-tRNA synthetases). tRNAs cope with the degeneracy of the genetic code in two manners: having more than one tRNA (with a specific anti-codon) for a particular amino acid; and 'wobble' base-pairing, i.e. permitting non-standard base-pairing at the 3rd anti-codon position. The record is from RNAcentral. Lineage: Bacteria; Bacillati; Actinomycetota; Actinomycetes.